GACGAACGCUAGCGGCGCGCCUAAGGUAUGCAAGUCGAACGGACCCGCAAGGGUCAGUGGCGAACGGUCGAGUAACACGUAGACAACCUGCCUUCGCAGUGGGGGAGUAACAGCCCGAAACGGGACGUGCUAAUACCGCAUGUGGCCGUGGGGAGUGAUGUCCCUAGUGCUAAAGGAAGCAAUUCGCUGGGAGAUGGGUCUGCGGCCUAUCAGGUAGUUGGUGGGGUAACGGCCUACCAAGCCGACGACGGGUAGCUGGUCUGAGAGGAUGAUCAGCCGGACGGGGACGUGAGACA
RNAcentral lists this ribosomal RNA (296 nucleotides) under uncultured bacterium. Its description in RNAcentral is "partial 16S ribosomal RNA". It matches the Rfam family "Bacterial small subunit ribosomal RNA", at positions 28 to 326 of the family's 1533-position model. The record is from RNAcentral.